This 492-nucleotide ribosomal RNA is filed under the name uncultured bacterium. Its description in RNAcentral is "partial 16S ribosomal RNA". It matches the Rfam family "Bacterial small subunit ribosomal RNA", at positions 30 to 507 of the family's 1533-position model. The record is from RNAcentral.
AGUGAACGCUGGCGGUAGGCCUAACACAUGCAAGUCGAACGGCAGCACAGUAAGAGCUUGCUCUUACGGGUGGCGAGUGGCGGACGGGUGAGGAAUACAUCGGAAUCUACUUUUUCGUGGGGGAUAACGUAGGGAAACUUACGCUAAUACCGCAUACGACCUACGGGUGAAAGCAGGGGAUCUUCGGACCUUGCGCGAUUGAAUGAGCCGAUGUCGGAUUAGCUAGUUGGCGGGGUAAAGGCCCACCAAGGCGACGAUCCGUAGCUGGUCUGAGAGGAGGGUCGGCCGCAUGGGAACGGGGACACGGACAUGAGGACUGCGAGAGGCAGCAGAGUGGAAUGGUGGGCAGAGGGGGGGAGUCUGAUACAACGGGACGGAGUGUGAGAAGGAGACGUUCGGGUUGUGAAGCCCUUUUGUGGGGAGAAAAAAGCAGCAGCUUAAGACCCCGCGGGUGUGACGGUACCGGGUGAAUAAGCACCGGCUAACUUCGUG